AAAAAAAGAAAAGAAAACCCUUCCCCAGCAGAGACCACUUUUACUACAAACUUAAAAUGUCUUUUCUUUAUCCUCGGCCUCAACUAUAUGUUGCGGCAUUGAAUUAGCAUUGCCAAACACCGCAGCCACUUUUUACCCCGAGCCAGGAGAGAAAGGAAGCAUGCUAUGUGGUGGGGCUUGAAGUCCUCAUUAGGUAGGCAGCUGUAUGUCUGAUCAUGGCGAGAGGUUCCUCUUGCUUCGCUUCCCUCAUCCUUACAUUCAUACAUGCUAACUCUCUCCCCCGACAAUUUACCUGCUUUAGAAGCUUUGUGUCAAAUGAAGUUGCUUUUCCAUUCCAUCUAGCAAAAGCCUG
Molecule: long non-coding RNA, 352 nt
Filed under: Homo sapiens (human)
Lineage: Eukaryota; Metazoa; Chordata; Mammalia; Primates; Hominidae
Description: HSALNT0167045
Source: RNAcentral